Molecule: long non-coding RNA, 437 nt
Filed under: Medicago truncatula (barrel medic)
Lineage: Eukaryota; Viridiplantae; Streptophyta; Magnoliopsida; Fabales; Fabaceae
Description: long non-coding RNA (MTRU_LNC005387)
Source: RNAcentral
UAAUUCCAAACAAGCAUGUUAUUUUCCUAGUAAAAUAAUUUGGCUAUUAAUCCAAAUGGUCAAUUAUUAGUACUGUUAUGGUUUUAAUAAAAUAAUUGGCAGCAGGUUGCAAGUUAGUGAUUAUCUCAUGGAGAUGUAAUUAGCCCAAGGUGCUGAUUCAUGUUCUCAUCUCAAAAAGGCCAAUAACAUGAUUAAUCACGUUGGCAUUAUGGUGGUUACUGUUCAGUUUUGCUUUUGGUAUUUCCUUUGCAUAAAUCAGUUGGAAACAACUCACACUUCAAAAAUUAAAUGAGCCAAUUCACUUCAUUUUGAGAAGUAACGGCUUGACAAUCAAAUGGAGAGAUUCUUAAUUGCUAUUGCCCCAUUCAACUGGAAAUGAAAUGCAUGCGUAGUGAUUGUGUGAAUGAUAACAGCUACAUGGGAGAAUGAAAGUUGUA